GUUUGAUGAAAGUUCACUGUUGAAAUCAGUGAUGCUUUAUAUGAUAUUAUGUUCAGUUAUGCAGACUAAUUCUCUGUUUUGUGUGAAAUAGGACCAAGAUGAGGAGGACCAAGAUGAUGAAGAGGAGGGAGAUUCCAAGGUCAGUGUGGAUUUAGAUCAUUACUUUAGAAAAAAAUCUAAAAUCUAGAAAUUACUUCAUUGUCUCUUUGUUCAGUGUUCCUCAGUCUCUUUGUUUUUCUUUGAAUGAAGGUUUGUGGAUUAUUUGCAUGUCUGAUGAUUAAUGAUGAUUGUGGUUGUUCUCUACCUCCUGUUCUGCCCUAGUGACAGGCAUAAGUCAUUCUCACCUCAUACAUUUCUAGGAUGAGGAUUCGGAGUACGCUUUAGCCACAGCCGUUGAAAUCGGUCAUUUCUUCAGGGAAAGAAUCGUUCCGAGAGCAGUUUUGUAUUUCACUGGAGAAGCCCCGGAGGAUGAUGAAAGUACCGGGGAUCCUCAGCCUGCAGAGUGCAAUCAACAGUAGUUUGGAUCACUCACUCCUGCCACUGUCAAACCCCAUCAGCUCACCUAGAAUCAGCCCUGUAGUGCGGCGUACAUUCUCUGAUGAGCACACCAUCCAACAAAACAAAACAUGAUGAUGCAAUACAUUGGUAAACUAGUUUUUUAACCUACAAAAUUUGCUAUACUACAACACUAUUGAUAAAUUGGGCAAUUCCAGAUUACAAUUCCCAGCUUCAGAAUGUAGAUAUAUACAUAAAUAAAUGUAAAACUAUUUUUUAAUUAAUUAUUUAGACAUGUACAGACAUAAUGACUUGAGAUAUGUCAUUGCAUAGCCAAAAAAAAAAAACUUGUAUUCUAACCUUUGUCAAGUUUGUUUGUAUUUAACAAAUAGUUUCUCUUCUCAUUUUUGAAGUGUUCCGUGUCAUGAGCAUAACCAUUUUUUAUGCAGUAUAUCCAUUUAUGUACUUUUUAUGCACUUAUUUAUGGAAUGUGCUAGCUAGCUAGCCAGUCCAACUAAUGUAUCUGCGAUAUCUUGCAGGCAUCAAUUAAUUGUGUUUAAUCAUAUCCGGCCUCUUUGCAAUAUAAAUAUCUAACAUUUCCAUCUUCAUUCGACUUUCUCUUUGAAUGUCGUAAUUAAAAAAUAAUAAUAAUCUCUGCACUCCUCUACAUGAGUAUGCUCAGUCGAUGUAGUCUCAUUUUAUAUAUAUAUAUAUAUAUAUAUAUAUAUAUAUAAAUGUAUUUCGGUAUACGUUAUAUCCAUAAUGCUGGAAUUGCUCAAUUUAGAUCGUAUUUAAAGACGAUAUGGCAAGUCCACUACCAAUGGUCACUGAAUUCUGAGUGAAUAAUAAUAAUCUCUGCACUCCUCUACAUGAGUAUGCUCAGUCGAUGUAGUCUCAUUUUAUAUAUACAGUGGGUACGGAAAGUAUUCAGACCCCCUUAAAUUUGUCACUCUUUGUUAUAUUGCAGCCAUUUGCUAAAAU
Sinocyclocheilus grahami is the source of this 1476-nucleotide long non-coding RNA. The record is from Ensembl. Lineage: Eukaryota; Metazoa; Chordata; Actinopteri; Cypriniformes; Cyprinidae.